CGCUGGCGGCGUGCCUAAUACAUGCAAGUCGAACGGUCUUUCUAUGGAAGCUUGCUUCCACUGAGAAGAUAGUGGCGAACGGGUGAGUAACACGUGGGUAACCUGCCCAUAAGAGGGGGGAUAACAUCCGGAAACGGGUGCUAAUACCGCAUAGUUUUCUUGAUCGCAUGAUCGGGAAAGGAAAGACGGCCUUUGUGCUGUCGCUUAUGGAUGGACCCGCGGCGUAUUAGUUAGUUGGUGAGGUAACGGCUCACCAAGACGAUGAUACGUAGCCGACCUGAGAGGGUGAUCGGCCACAUUGGGACUGAGACACGGCCCAAACUCCUACGGGAGGCAGCAGUAGGGAAUCUUCCGCAAUGGACGAAAGUCUGACGGAGCAACGCCGCGUGAGUGAAGGAGGGUUUUUUCCGGAUCGUAAAACUCUGUUGUCAGAGAAGAACAAGUUGGAGAGUAACUGCUCCAGCCUUGACGGUAUCUGACCAGAAAGCCACGGCUAACUACGUGCCAGCAGCUGC
Molecule: ribosomal RNA, 515 nt
Filed under: uncultured bacterium
Lineage: Bacteria
Description: bacterial SSU rRNA
Rfam family: Bacterial small subunit ribosomal RNA
Source: RNAcentral